UACAGAGGGUGCAAGCGUUAAUCGGAAUGACUGGGCGUAAAGCGUGUGUAGGUGGUUGGAUAAGUUAGAUGUGAAAUCCCCGGGCUUAACCUGGGAACUGCGUUUAAAACUGUUCAGCUAGAGUACUGUAGAGGAUAGUGGAAUUUCCAGUGUAGCGGUGAAAUGCGUAGAUAUUGGAAGGAACACCAGUGGCGAAGGCGACUAUCUGGAUAGAUACUGACACUGAGACACGAAAGCGUGGGGAGCAAACAGG
RNAcentral lists this ribosomal RNA (253 nucleotides) under uncultured bacterium. RNAcentral describes it as "partial 16S ribosomal RNA". It matches the Rfam family "Bacterial small subunit ribosomal RNA", at positions 524 to 776 of the family's 1533-position model. The record is from RNAcentral.